UACGAAGGGGGCUAGCGUUGUUCGGAAUUACUGGGCGUAAAGCGCACGUAGGCGGAUAUUUAAGUCGGGGGUGAAAUCCCAGGGCUCAACCCUGGAACUGCCUCCGAUACUGGAUAUCUCGAGUCCGAGAGAGGUGAGUGGAAUUCCGAGUGUAGAGGUGAAAUUCGUAGAUAUUCGGAAGAACACCAGUGGCGAAGGCGGCUCACUGGCUCGGAACUGACGCUGAGGAGCGAAAGCAUGGGGAGCGAACAGG
This 253-nucleotide ribosomal RNA is filed under the name uncultured bacterium. Its description in RNAcentral is "partial 16S ribosomal RNA". It matches the Rfam family "Bacterial small subunit ribosomal RNA", at positions 524 to 776 of the family's 1533-position model. The record is from RNAcentral.